AAACUCAAAGAUUAUUUAAGAUGAAAAUAUUAAUAUUUUUUAUCAAAUAUCAUUUUUAUUUUUUAAUUAAAUUGCAAAUAAAAAAUAUAGAUUAUCUAUUCCUAGGGAGAUUAUCUAUUGUAAUACAAAGAAGUUAAUUUAAUUUUAAUAUUUUUAAUAAUAAAGUUUUGAAAUUAUCAUAAGGAAUAAAUAAAAUAUGUUUAUUUUUCAUUUUAUAAAAGAGAAAAGUCAUUUUAUGAAAAUAAUGAUUAAAAUAUGAUACAUCAUAAUAUUAUAUUGUAGCCUAGUGGUUGAGAGCUUGCAUUGGAUUCUAAAGUUUUUUAAGCUCCGAAUUUGGAUUCGAAUCGGAUUAAAUAUCAAUAUUUCUACUUGAAUUUGAUUUUAUUUGGAUAAGAAAUGGAUGCUGUCGGAUGAAGUCCGGCUUGUUUUUAAACCUAAUACCUAAUUUACCAAAUGUCUGAUGCACACUUAUAAAACAUUCAAUAAAUCUAUUUUGAAUAUUAUAUAUGUGUUCAUGUUACUAUCCUUUUUGUACUUAAAAUCUAAGAAUAAAAUUGACCAAGGACCUCUAAUAUGUUUUAUGCAGAGCUGAUCAUGGGCCUUCUGGCCCAUCCAGGCCGCCCUGCCCGGUCCAGAAUUUU
RNAcentral lists this long non-coding RNA (641 nucleotides) under Phoenix dactylifera (date palm). RNAcentral describes it as "long non-coding RNA (PDAC_LNC004711)". Lineage: Eukaryota; Viridiplantae; Streptophyta; Magnoliopsida; Arecales; Arecaceae. The record is from RNAcentral.